This is a long non-coding RNA of Xiphophorus hellerii (green swordtail), 2069 nucleotides long. RefSeq lists it as uncharacterized. The record is from RefSeq and is a predicted model, not a curated record. The transcript is spliced from 3 exons. Lineage: Eukaryota; Metazoa; Chordata; Actinopteri; Cyprinodontiformes; Poeciliidae.
UCUCCAUCAUGGCGGCAACCUUCUGCUCCAGCCGCCACACCUGCUCCCGAUACUUCCUGCGAAUCUGCCUGUAGGAACUCAAGGCUUUACUGGAAUAAAGCCAUCAAAAUCUGGACUGAGGUGAGAGGUGCGGCGUGACUUCCUGCUGCAGGGACAGGACGGCCGAGCAGAAGACCUUGAGGAACUAAAAUAUCUGACUCGGCCUGGAGGGAUUCUGCUUUGGAAGACGUAAUUUCCCAGUCAUCUUUGCUGCAGUUGGAGUCCUUCAUACCUGUUCGGUCUUCCGAUCUUCCACCUCGUCUCUGAGGUUUUCUGGGAUGAAAACUCCAGCUGCUUCCUGCGACUUCUGACCCAUUAAGCCCCAUUCAAGACAUCGCAGCUCCUUCUCCUUCAGACGGAUUAAAGCUCGAAGAUCUGACAUCUCCUCCUGGACAAAGGCAGUCAAACCACAAUCUAUGAUAAACAAGGGUAAUUCAUAGCAGCAUAGUUUGUGUUAAGUGGCACAACUAAAAACUUUAAUAGUUAAAGGAAGCCAGAAAGCAAAAAUCGAAUGUUAUUUUUGACUUCGACAGUAGUAGAACAGCAAUUUCUAGCUUUUAUGACUGAUUGCAGCUCCAUUUAGUUUAUAAAUAUAAGUGUUUCAAUUCGUUGUGAGCAACCAAAAAUAUAGUUAAAUAUAUUUAAUUCUAGGAUUCCUGUCUUUUAGUAUUCAUUAAACUGGUCUUAUUGCAAAAGUGCUGUUGUAAAAGUGUUUUAGUGUUGAAUAUGUAAUAAAAACUGCUGGCUGGUGAUAGAUUUAGAGCCCUGAAACUGAGCAUAUUUUCAUAAUAAUCAGGCUGUAGACCAGAUUUUUUUUCCUUUUUCUAACUUUUGCUCUUUAGUAAUCAUAAAAAUAUUUAAAAGAUUAGACUGCUACUUGUAAAUGUGUUCAUUUUUAAAAAUGUUGUUAAAAGUUUUGAUAAGAUGCAGCAGUAAAUGAACUUUUCACAGCUUUUUGCUACUGUUUUGAUCAAUUUGCGCAUUUUUGUGCUAAGUAGGUAGCCGAAAAUGACACAAAACAGGCUGAUGACAGCAUAUUUUUCACCAGUGUAUACAUUUAACCACUGAGCAAACAAAAACAGGGUUUACAGUUCUGUUCAUUCUGUGUUUUUAAUGAAAUACAAACCGUUAGCUGUUGCUAAAAAGCUUCAUUUAUUGCAAAAACUGGACUCUAGAGAUCACUGGAUGUCCAAGUCAGAAUACUGGUUUCCAGGUGAAUUUUGUUGAUUUUUUUUCCAAUUUUGACUUUGGAAUCUUUUAGUAGGAGUUUUAGCAAACCUAUUAAGAGAAAAAUAAUGGAAUUGGAUAAAUAUAAUUAGUUCGUUUUGCCUUGAAAGUUGGAGCACAAAUGUUGGAAUUACGCCUCAGUUAAAUGUGUUGCUGUGGAAAGUCUGCUGCUAACAAUUAUUUGUAAUAACAGCUUAAACAACAUAUUUAUCCACACUGAAAGACAAUCAAAUUGUCAGAGGUGCUAAUAAAGAGUUUUUACCAGCAAUGUUCACUUUGUUUUCAACACACUGCAGUCAUGUUGGAAUUGAAAUGCUCAGAAAAGUCUUAAUUUGCAAGUUUGAGUUCUGUCUUUCGGGGAAGUUCUUGUUUAAUUUUCAAAGUUUUAAUAAAAAAAAAACAGUAUUUGACAGUUAGACUGUAAUACAGUCACAUUAGAAGAAUAUUGGCACUACAAGGUUGACAAGUUAUGUAAAUGAGACUUAUUACUCUUCUUUGCAGUCUGAACUCAACGUAAUGCAUAAUUAUAGAACCGUAAAUCUUUGAAAAGCAGAAGUAGAACCUCCUGCACAACCAACAAGAAUGCAGCAAGUGGUUUCUGGAUGUUAUGUAAGUCAAUAAAAAAACUGUUGUAUUUUCCAGCAGCCAUUGUACAGCACAUACAGAGGUAAAACCAGUAGAACAAACUGGAGCUCUGCUUGGGUUUCUAUAGGUAAUGGGUUGUGCCUACUGAUCUGUGAUGUUUCAUUGAGAAGGUUUUGAAACGACUCAUUUUUCCAGACAAUAAACACAUUAACUUAUUA